Molecule: long non-coding RNA, 410 nt
Organism: Chinchilla lanigera (long-tailed chinchilla)
Lineage: Eukaryota; Metazoa; Chordata; Mammalia; Rodentia; Chinchillidae
Exons: 3
Source: RefSeq, a predicted model, not a curated record
GUGCGUUCCCUGAGUGAGCGCUGUGGCAGCAGAGACCACCUGCAAGUGUUCACGCUAAAUCCGACCAGGGCCUCAGAUGCCUGGGAGAGGAUCCGAGAUCAUCAGAGAGGGAGUGGGAGUCCCAGGAGGAGCGGCCCGGGUUGGCGGCGCUUGGGGCUGCCUUGGCGCCGGCUUGCGUUGGGUGCGUUUGAAAGCACAGGAGGGACGGCGGCCCCACCACGUGAGAACAGAGCUGCCCGACAUCUGGAAAGCAGAGCCCCAGCUCAGCGAACAUCUGGAGCGCUAAUCGAGGCGGGCUCCCGGAAGGGUCGGGGUAGCGAGGUGAAAGGACUCGGCUCUGGGGACUCAGACGCCUGGCCCCGGCGCCCCUCACUGGGACACGGCCGGCGUCCGCCUUGGCUGGGCGCUGA